AUGGUGGAUCUGAGUUUGUUGUUCGUAGUAGGCAGGUAUGGUUUCCUCCAACGUCUUAGUUGGGCGGGGGUGUCAGAUUUGGAGUUCGAUGGCUUGUCUGGGGUGUUGCCCCGAUCUGUUUCAUUCAACGGCAAUGGCUUGGCCUUUAUUGGCGAGCCACCUUGGAGGUCCGCAAAGUUGCAUAUCAGCGAUGGAGCCGCGUCGAGCUUGGGUGGUGAUCCGUCAUUUUCUCCUUUGAUGGCUGCUAUGGUGGUGCCAGAGGCAGGUGACGAACGUUGGUGUCAAGCUCAGAGGAUCCUUCAGUCUUGUUUGUAA
This 315-nucleotide ribosomal RNA is filed under the name Triticum aestivum (bread wheat). RNAcentral describes it as "partial small subunit ribosomal RNA". Lineage: Eukaryota; Viridiplantae; Streptophyta; Magnoliopsida; Poales; Poaceae. The record is from RNAcentral.